Molecule: transfer RNA, 67 nt
Filed under: Japanagallia sp.
Lineage: Eukaryota; Metazoa; Arthropoda; Insecta; Hemiptera; Cicadellidae
Description: tRNA-Ser
Source: RNAcentral
AGUUGUUUAGCUUAAAUAUAAAGCAUAUAUUUUGAAAAUAUAAGAAAGAUGUAAAAUUUAAUGACUU